AGACCAAGAACCCUCCACAUCCACAGUACAAAGAGAAGAAGGGGAGAGUGUUCGUGCAUUACUACAAUCCAUGCAGGACACUUCUAUAUUAUUAUUCGAGGAAGAUCAGGUUGAAAUCAAUUUGGAACCUCUGGUUGAGGAUUCUGUAUGUCCAGAAGAUGAGGAUGAGACUCAGAUUGAGGGACACACAUCAGAGGGACCAACACCACCAAAUCUAGAAACUCCUCAGAAUAUCAUGGUCAAUGACUCUGAGGAAGAUGAAA
This is a long non-coding RNA of Bombina bombina (fire-bellied toad), 263 nucleotides long. RefSeq lists it as uncharacterized. Lineage: Eukaryota; Metazoa; Chordata; Amphibia; Anura; Bombinatoridae. The record is from RefSeq and is a predicted model, not a curated record. The transcript has 3 exons.